CAGCAGCCGCGGUAAUACGUAGGUGGCAAGCGUUGUCCGGAAUUAUUGGGCGUAAAGGGCUCGCAGGCGGUUUCUUAAGUCUGAUGUGAAAGCCCACGGCUCAACCGGGGAGGGUCAUUGGAAACUGGGAAACUUGAGUGCAGAAGAGGAGAGUGGAAUUCCACGUGUAGCGGUGAAAUGCGUAGAGAUGUGGAGGGACACCAGUGGCGAAGGCGACUCUCUGGUCUGUAACUGACGCUGAGGAGCGAAAGCGUGGGGAGCGAACAGGAUUAGAUACCCGGGUAGUCCCUGUCUCUUAUAC
RNAcentral lists this ribosomal RNA (301 nucleotides) under uncultured bacterium. RNAcentral describes it as "partial 16S ribosomal RNA". It matches the Rfam family "Bacterial small subunit ribosomal RNA", at positions 509 to 807 of the family's 1533-position model. The record is from RNAcentral.